CCUACGGGAGGCAGCAGUGGGGAAUAUUGGGCAAUGGAGGAAACUCUGACCCAGCAACGCCGCGUGCAUGAUGAAGGUCUUCGGAUUGUAAAGUUCUUUUCUAAGGGAAGAAGAAAGUGACGGUACCUUAGGAAUAAGCCUCGGCUAACUACGUGCCAGCAGCCGCGGUAAUACGUAGGAGGCAAGCGUUAUCCGGAAUGACUGGGUGUAAAGGGUGCGUAGGUGGUUUGACAAGUUGGUAGGGUAACUCCGAGGCUUAACCCCGGCACUACUACCAAAACUGUUGGACUAGAGUGCAGGAGGGGCAGAUGGAAUGCCUGGUGUAGCGGUGAAAUGCGUAGAUAUUA
Molecule: ribosomal RNA, 347 nt
Filed under: uncultured bacterium
Lineage: Bacteria
Description: partial 16S ribosomal RNA
Rfam family: Bacterial small subunit ribosomal RNA
Source: RNAcentral